AAUGAACGCUGGCGGCAGGCCUAACACAUGCAAGUCGAACGGAUCCUUCGGGAUUAGUGGCGGACGGGUGAAUAACGCGUGGGAACAUACCCUUUGGUACGGAAUAGCCUCGGGAAACUGGGAGUAAUACCGUAUGUGCUCUUCGGAGGAAAGAUUUAUCGCCAAAGGAUUGGCCCGCGUUGGAUUAGGUAGUUGGUGGGGUAAUGGCCUACCAAGCCGACGAUCCAUAGCUGGUUUGAGAGGAUGAUCAGCCACACUGGGACUGAGACACGGCCCAGACUCCUACGGGAGGCAGCAGUGGGGAAUCUUAGACAAUGGGGGAAACCCUGAUCUAGCCAUGCCGCGUGAUCGAUGAAGGCCUUAGGGUUGUAAAGAUCUUUCAGUGGGGAAGAUAAUGACGGUACCCACAGAAGAAGCCCCGGCUAACUCCGUGCCAGCAGCCGCGGUAAU
RNAcentral lists this ribosomal RNA (450 nucleotides) under uncultured bacterium. Its description in RNAcentral is "bacterial SSU rRNA". It matches the Rfam family "Bacterial small subunit ribosomal RNA", at positions 29 to 524 of the family's 1533-position model. The record is from RNAcentral.